RNAcentral lists this ribosomal RNA (469 nucleotides) under uncultured bacterium. Its description in RNAcentral is "partial 16S ribosomal RNA". It matches the Rfam family "Bacterial small subunit ribosomal RNA", at positions 28 to 507 of the family's 1533-position model. The record is from RNAcentral.
GACGAACGCUGGCGGCGUGCUUAACACAUGCAAGUCGAACGGAAAGGCCCUGCUUUCGGGGGGUACUCGAGUGGCGAACGGGUGAGUAACACGUGAGUAACCUGCCCUUGACUUUGGGAUAACUUCAGGAAACUGGGGCUAAUACCGGAUAGGAGCUCCUGCUGCAUGGUGGGGGUUGGAAAGUUUCGGCGGUUGGGGAUGGACUCGCGGCUUAUCAGCUUGUUGGUGGGGUAGUGGCUUACCAAGGCUUUGACGGGUAGCCGGCCUGAGAGGGUGACCGGCCACAUUGGGACUGAGAUACGGCCCAGACUCCUACGGGAGGCAGCAGUGGGGAAUAUUGCACAAUGGGUGGAAGCCUGAUGCAGCAACGCCGUGUGCGGGAUGACGGCCUUCGGGUUGUAAACCGCUUUCGCUCAUGACGAAGCUUUGUGUGACGGUAGUGGGUAAAGAAGCACCGGCUAACUACGUG